CCGCGGCAUGUGGGAUCUUCCCGGACCGGGGCACAAACCCGUGUCCCCUGCAUCGGCAAGCGGACUCUCAACCACUGCGCCACCAGGGAAACCCCCUAAUUUAAUUUUUAAUUGAAGUAUAGUUGAUUUACAAUAUUGUGCCAAUCUCUGCUGUACAGCAAAGUGACUCAGUUAUACACAUAUAUUCUUUUUUUAAUAUUCUUUUCCAUUCUGGUUUAUCACAGGAUAUUGACUAUAGUUCCCUGUGCUAUACAGUAGGGCCUUGUUGUUUAUCCAUCCUACAUAUAACAGUUUACGUCUGCUCAUCCCAAACUCCCAGUCCUUCCCUCCCCCACCCUCUCCCCCUUGGCAACCACAAGUCUGAUCUCUAUGUCUGUGAGUCUGUUUCUGUUUCAUAGAUAGAUUCAUUUGUGCCAUAUUUUAGUUUUCACAUAUGAGUGAUAUCAUGUUAUUUGUCUUUCUCUUUCUGACUUACUUCCCUUUGUAUGAUAAUCUCCAGCUGCAUCCAUAUUGCUGCAAAUGGCAUGAUUUCAUUCUUUUUUAUGGCUGAGUAGUAUUCCAUUGUAUAUAUGUAUGACAUUUUCUUUAUCCAUUCUUUUUUAAAAAAACUUUAUUGAAGUAUAGUCGCUUUACAAUAUUGUGUUAGUUUCUACUGUACAACAAAGUGAAUCAGCUCUACUUAUACAUAUAUCCCCUCUUUUUCGGAUUUCCUUCCCAUUUAGGUCACCACAGAGCACUGAGUAGAGUUCCCUGUGCUGUACAGUAGGUUCUCAUUAGUUAUCUAUUUUAUACAUAGUGUCAAUAGUGUAUAUAGGUCAAUCCCAAUCUCACACCCCCCCUUCCCUCUUGGUGUCCAUAUGUUUGUUCUGUACAUCUGUGUCUCUAUUUCUGCUUUGUAAAUAAGAUCAUCUAUACCAAUUUUUUCAGAUUCCACAUAUAUGCAUUAAAAUACCAUAUUUGUUUUUCUCUUUCUGACUUACUUCACUCUGUACGACAGUCUCUAGGUCCAUCCACGUCUCUACAAAUGACCCAGUUUCAUUCCUUUUUAUGGCUUAGUAAUAUUCCAUUGCAUAUAUGUACCACAUCUUCUUUAUCUACUCCUCUGUUGAUGGACGUUUAGGUUGUUUCCAUGUUCUGGCUAUUGUAAAUAGUGCUGCUAUGAAUAUAGGGGUGCAUGUAUCUUUUUGAAUUAUAGUUUUGUCCAGGUAUAUGUCCAGGAGUGGGGUUGCUGGAUCAUAUGGUAAUUCUAUUUUUAGUUUUCUGAGGAACCUCCACACUGUUUUCCAUAGUGGUUGCCGUAACUUACAUUCCCACCCCCAGUGUAGAAGUGUUCCCUUUUAUCCACACCCUCUCCAGCAUUUGUUAUUUGUAGACUUUUUAAUGAUGGCCAUUCUGACCAGUGUGAGGUGGUUCCUCACGGUAGUUUUGAUUUGCAUUUCUCUAAUAAUUAGUGAUGUUGUGCAUCUUUUCAGGUGCCUACUGGCCAUCUGUAUGUCUUCUUUGGAGAAAUGUCUGUUAAGAUCUUCUGCCCGUUUUUUGAUUGGGCUGUUUGUUUUUGUGUUGUUGAGUUGUAUGAGCUGUUUGCAUAUUUUGGAGAUUAAGCCCAUGUCAGUCACAUCAUUUGCAAAUACUUUUUUCCAUUCCAUUGGUUGUCUUUUCUUUUCUUUUUUUUUUUUUGUGGUUUCCUUUGUUGCGCAAAAGCUUGUAAGUUUGAUUAGGUCCCAUUUGUUUAUUUUUGUUUUUAUUUCUAUUGCCUUGGGAGACUGACCUAAGAGCACAUUGGUACGAUUUAUGUCAGAGAAUGUUUUGCCUAUGCUUUCUUCUAGGAGUUUUAUGGUGUCCUGUCUUAUGUUUAAGUCUGUAAGCCAUUUGGGUUUAUUUCUGUGCAUGGUGUGAGGGUGUGUUGUAACUUCAUUGAUUUGCAGACAGCCGUCCAGCUUCCAAGCAGCACUUGUUGAAGAGACGGACCUCCUUUUGAGGCACCGCCCCGGUUCUGCACCCUGGCUUGCACGGACAUGGGGCCAGUAGGAGCCCACAGGUGUCCCACCAACACGUCAGCCCAAUUUGUCUCUUUAGACAGCUCAGCAGCACCCCCAGUCUCCAACUCAUUUUUCUGCCUCCCCUUCCUCCUUUUUUUUCGGGCGGGGGGGGGGGGGCGGGGGGAGGGGAGGGAAGGUGUCUGUGGUCCAGACAGUGCCUCUCAUUGCCAGGAGAGGGCAGCAGUCACCUCCCCUUCCCACAGGUGCACCCUCCGCUCGAUCUAGGAUUGCGUCACUUUUCCAAAGGCCACUGAGUGCCCACUAGGUGCCAGGCUCUGCGCUGGGCGCUGGGGAUGCCAAGCUGACUCCCCUCUCUGGAGGAAUCCGUGGUCUAAAAGAGUGAGUCAGCCACAGAAACACAGAAGUGCCGAACAGUGGGGUGAGGCGCUCAGGCAGAAGGCUCCCCCGGGAACUCCAGACUCCCAAGGAGGGGUGGGGAGAGAAGGGGCCCUAGGAGAAGCCUCAUAGGAGAAGAUGCUUGAACGGAGUGUUGCAAGAGGAUAGUUUUUUUUGCAGGGUACACGGCCUCCAGGAAGGGCAUCCCAGGAAGCGGAACUGAAACCGCAGGACUCAGAUGGGAUUUCAACCCAUGGGCCGGGACUCCAACCCAGCCAAGACUCAGACUGGGACUUGAAUCCACUGUCUUUUAAUUGAAAUCGCAUACCUGGUCUCAGGACUUAACAAAGCUCAGGUUCUCACGACAGAAAGAAUUCAGUGAGGGACAAAGUGGUAGGUAAGAAGUGGAUUUAGAGAGAUACACGUUCCAUAGACAGAGUGUGGUCCAUCUCAAAAGGCAAGACUGGCCCUGGGAAAAACACAGUCUACAGAGUGUGGGCCACCUCAGAAGGCAAGAGACCCUGAAGUAUGGGGUGGCUAGUUUUUAUGGGCUGGGUAAUUUCAUAGGCCAACGAGUGGGAGGAUCAUUCCAACUAUUUUGGGGAAGGGGCGGGGAUUUCCAGGAGUUGGGCCACCGCCCACUUUUUGGCCAUUUAUGGUCGGCCUCAGAACUGUCAUGGUGCUGGUGCGCAUGUCAUUUAGUUGCCAACGUGUUACAAUGCACGUAUGAUGAGGCUCGAGGUCCGCUGGAAGUCUAAUCUUCCGCCAUCUUGGGCCUAAUCGGUUCUAACCAGUUUAUGUAGUAACCUCAAUGGCUGUGUCAUUCUUUUAAAGGUUGCGCCCUGCCCCCUUCCCUCGUGUUUCAGAACCAGGUGAACCUGACCCUCUAUGGCCAGCUUAGCUGGAACAGAGGGUGCUGGGGAGGGUCAGGAAGACUCGGUAACUGGGACCAUGGAGGGGUCCCUGUCUGCCGUGCCGGGGGGCCUGGGCCAGAGUCGUGGCGGAAACAGGAAGCCGUCACAGGGGUUUAACCAGGAAACGAUAGGUGCUACGCAGAAGGGAAAACAGAAGAAUGUAAUAGAUUGUCGGGGACCAGGGUAAACCUCUCAAGAGGUGACAUUGACAUGUGAGCUGACCGGGAGGUGAGCACCCGGCUCGGGAGAGGACACGGUCAGAGCAAAGGCAAGAGGGUGUGGGGAAGUGUGGAUGCCUGGAGGGUGGCGAGCAAGGACGGUGGCUGGGGGCCAGAUGGAUUCACCGCUCACAAGGUAAGGCAGGGACUCAGUCCACCAGGCCUCCAGUGGGUGGACGGACCCUCUGGCCUGGAGGGGCUGUACGUCUGGAGGAGCCUUCUUAGUCUUUGACAGGUGAGGCUUGGGUUUCUGGAAGGAGCUGGAGCUGGUCUGCGUCUGGAUCGGUUGGUCACUGAGGCUCUGGGAAGAGGCUCCAAGCUCCAGGGCAGCAGUUGGUAAACUACAGCCCGGGAGGCCGAGUCCUGUAUUCUGAGAACACAGCCGAGCUGCUUCAUUUAUGUAUUGUCAGCGGUUGCACUGUCAAGAUGGACAGUUGCCACAGAGACCGCAUGGCCUGCAAAGUCUGAAACGUUUCCUCUCUCUGUGGAAAAGGUUUGGGAAGCCCCGCUCUACGCUGUGGCAGGCGGUUUUCUGGGACGUGGUUCAGGCCUGGCCUGGUCUGUAUGUGCUGAGAAGGUAAGGCUGUGCUCCGAAGCCGCAUCUCCAAAAGCUGACGUCCAUCUCAGGUGCUGGAACUCUGCUUGGUCACGUGUGCGUAGUAGCGCACCAUGACCGUGGGCUUGUGGUUCCAGUGGUCCCGUGAGUGUCUCUUAGCUUUCCUUGAUCCACAGCUUUCUGCUUUCAUCUCUCUUUUUUUUCUUCCUCGCAAUUUAUUUAUUGAAGAAACUGGGUUGUUUCCCCGUAUGUUGGGCUUUGCUGAUGAGAUCCUGAAGUUUCACGUGUGCCUCUGUUCGCUCCUAAUUUACUGUAAAUCAGCAGCUUGACCUAAAGGCUUCACGGGCUUUAGGUUAGAUGGGGAGGGGCAGCAAAGACUAUCCCAGAUUCUUCCAACAGGAGGUGAGUAACGUCUGGGCUGGCUUUUAGUGUGUGUGUGAUGUUAGUAGCUGUUAAUUAAUUAUGGAUUGAAAAAUGGUAUUAUUGCUGUAUCAUUCCUUCUUCGUUUACUAGUUGGCAUACUUCUCUAAAGAGAUGCUGCCCCUUAUAUAAGCUCUUUUGUUACCCUGUGGUACAAUUAUUUAGAAAAGGCUGGAUAAUUGCUUGAUUUGUUCUUUUUAUUGACCAUUUUCCAAAUGAAGAGUUGUUUCGUAUCCUUCAAUGGCAACCAGUUUUUCUUUCUUUUUUUUUUUGGCGGCAUUGGGUCUUCGUUGCUGUGCACAGGCUUUCUCCAGUUGCACUGAGCGGGGGCUACUCUUCGUUGCGGUGAGCGGGCUUCUCAUUGUAGUGCCUUCUCUUGCUGUGGAGCACGGGCUCUAGGCGCGCGGGUUGUGUAGUUGUGGCGCACAGGCUUAGUUGCUCCGCGGCAUGUGGGAUCUUCCCGGACCAGGGCUCGAACCCGUGUCCCCUGCAUUGGCAGACGGAUUCUUAACCACUGCGCCACCAGGGAAGUCCCCAACCACUUUUUUUUUUUAACAUCUUUAUUGGAGUAUAAUUGCUUUACAGUGUUGUGUUAGUUUCUGCUGUAUAACAAAGUGAAUCAGCUAUACGUAUACAUAUAUCCCCUCCCCCUUGGAAUCUUGGUGUGGGUUUUGCUUUUUUGGUUUUUUUUGAAUUUAGUGUGAAAUUUAUGAAGGCACUAUUAGUAUCAGUAAAAUUAUAUAAAUCGUAUUUAAUUAGUUCUGGCCCCAAAGUCUUCAUCUUUUUCUUUUUCUUCUCCUCCUUCUCUUCCUUCAUCUUCUUUUUCUUUCUUUCUUUCUUUUUUUUUCUUGCUAUAGAUUAAAUUUAACUCCUUUCCAGGCUUGGAAAUGAGCUGAACCCACUUAGUGCAAGCAUCCUGAAAUCCUCCCUUCCCAUCAUAUUCCUGAGAGACUGGUGAUGUGUUCUUGCCUAAUGAAAGUGAAUCCAUAGUUUGGCAUUGGUACUGCUACUUCUUCUCUGCUACUUUGUUCUUAUAUGUGAUUUGUUUUAAAACCGUUUUGCAUUAUUAGACAUUAUUUGCAAUUAUAAAGAUAAAAAGAAACAUUUCAAGUAUUAGCUUAUUUGACCUCUUUGAAAUGAUCACAUUUUCUUCCUCCAAAUUCUUUUGGACCCACAGCCGCAUUUCAUAUUGUUUCUACCCUAUCCUGGCUGACUGUUCCUUUUCAAUCUCACUUAUGAAGUCCUCUGGCUCUGCUUCUGCUUUACUCAUUUUAAGAAUAAAUUAUUAAAAAAAUAAAUAAAUUAUUUUUGGUAUAGGUACUAUUUCCAUAUAUUGCUGACCUUGGAGGGUCUCCUGGGGCAGUGGGGGGGGCAGCUGUGGCUCUCUCUGGGGUCAGAAAAGCUGGUGGCGGACAUAUCGGGGAGUAUUUAUCUGAGUAAACUCUUCCUGCUGGUCUUGGAGGGUCCCCUGGGGAGGCGGAGGGCGGCCAAGGCUCUCUCUGGGGUCACUAAAGCUGGUGGCGGAAAUCUCAGGCAGUGUUCACCCACCCGAACUCCUGUUGCAGGCAAACAUCCUGCUUGGGCACUUAGCACCCUGGGUGUGGUUUAAAUUGCUUUUCUUUUUUUAUGCAGACCUUGUGAUCUGCUGUCAUUUUUAUAUAUUGUUGCUGGACUUAGUUUUCUAUUUUUAGAAAAGAGUUUCACAUCUAUAGUCAUGAGAAAGAUUGGCCUUAAUUUUCCUUUCUUGUACAAUCUUUUUUAAGCUUCAGUAUUAAGAUUAUGCUAAUCUCAUAAAAAUGGGUUGAGGAAUGUUCUUUUUUUAUUUAAUGGAAGAAUUUGUGUAUAAUUGGCAUUAUGUUUUCUUUAAAUGUUUAGUAGAAAUUAUUGAUGAGGGACUUCCCUGGAGGUCCAAUGGUUAGGACUCUGCUCUUCCACUGCAGGGGGCUCGGGUUUGAUUCCUGGUCGGGGAACUAAGAUCCCGCAUGCUGCGUGGUGUGGCCAAAAAAAAAAAAAAAAAAAAGAUCAAUAUUUAUUGAGCUCUUACUAUAUGCCAGGCACUGUUCUAUCUAUAUUGUCUCAUGUAAUGCUCCUAACAACCCUAUGAGGGAGCUUCUACUGCUGCUGCUGCUGCUGUGAGUACAGUGAUAAUCAUUAUACAGGCGAGUAAUAAUAAGGCGUGUCUUUAGUGAAGAUAAACCAGAAUAUCUAAAUAAAUAACCAAACCAUCUGUGCUGGUAGUAAACUGAGCCCAGACUAAAUCAACUUUCCAUUUUUUUGUUUUCUGUUUUUCCUAUCACUGUUAACCAAGGCUAUGGGUAUAGGUAACUGUAGUUUAUAGUGAGCAGUUUUUCAUAAUCUUUUUUAUUUUUCUGGCUUAAAUCACUUUUUUAAAAAAUUGGAGUAUAACUGCUUUACAACGUUGUGUGAGUGUCUACUGUACAAUGAAGUGAAUCAGCUGUACGUAUACCUAUAUCCCCUCCCUCUCGGACCUCCCUCCCCAUCCCACCCAUCUAGGUUGUCACAGAGCACCGGAGCAGAGCUUCCUCUGCCUUACAGCGUGUUCUCACUAGCUACCCAUUUCACGCCUGGUAGUGUAUGUAUGUCAAUCCUCAUCGCCCAGUUCGUCCCACCCUCCCCUUCCCAGCCCUGUGUCAGAGUGAAGUAAGCCAGAAAGAGAUUUUCAUAAUCUUACGGACGAGCACUGCACCCCCCUCACCACACCCCGGCCCCCAGCUCUCUCUCCAGCUCUCCCGCAUAGAAGGCACUUUAUGAUCUCAAGGGGAAAGAUGUGAUCCAAAGGGCAGGAUGAGAUCUUGAAAGUUGAUACCUAGUAGGAUGUAUCUGGUCUCUUUCGGUUCUCAUGUUAAUUUUUAUUAUGCUUAUUUUACAUAUGCAGAAAUAGAGUCUCCCGGAGGGAAGUGAAUCGCCUAAGGAUAAAUUGCUAGGGAGGGCACGGUCUGAAUCAGGAGCUUAUACCUUGCAGAGAUAUUUAUAGUUAUGGUAGGUUCCUCAGAGCCCGCUGAAAGGGACAUGAGAUGUGAUGUCUCAGGAAAGAACGUUAUGGAGGCGCUCCAGGUUGCUAGUCAGGUGAGGACACCUCAGACAUCUUCCUGGCUUCCAGCCGGGUAGGACCACCUCCAUGGAGGUAGCUGGUUGGGCGCAGUCCCCUUGUGCCAGGAGGACGGGAAGAAUUUCCAGUCAGCAGAGCACUACGUGGUACCGUCCAUUCACAGCUCCAGGUCUGGCUCCCGUGUCCCUAAUCUGAGCCGUUCCUUCCCCCCCGCACCCCCAGUCCAGCUUCAGUCCUCUCCGUAGAUUCACUGCUCCUCUUCCCUUCUCUACCAGGGAUCAUUUUUCGCUGUAUCAUCUCCAUUCUUCAACUUUCUUUCCUUCCCGAGCCCCCUCUCUCCUGUAGUUGUCAGCAGACAAUAUCUUACAAGCCCUCAAGUUGCUGGAAGUCAAAAUCCUAAGUGACGAGAUGGCAUCUCCAUUAUGCCAGAAGGUGACAGCCAUCGAUGGUGACGAGCUCGUGCCUCUGGGUUGGGAGCUGUGGGGGAAGAAAGGACCCCAGCCCUGGAGUUCCUCUCCGGUGGAUGAUGACGUCUGAUAGCUAGAAGCCAGAGGGAGACUUGGAGGGGAUGUGUACUUCAGUCCUAAUGGCGCUGGGGUCCCAGUCUCCAGGAAUGUCAUUGUCAAGCUGUGGGACAGAUUGCAUCUGCACGACCUGCCCCCAAGGAGCCUCCCGGUCGCCGUGGGGAAACUGAGCCUCGGCCAGGGUUAGUGGGAGAAGAGGACGGGGCAGCAGGGGGCGCUGUGUGGACUCUGGACUAGCUUCAUCCUCCCAGCUCUCACUGGACAUCUCCACUAAGUUCAGUCGUGGGCGUGUUUGGGGGAGGGGGGCAAGCCAGGAUCCCUGUGGGCUGAUGGGAACCCAGGAGACCAGGAAUGGCUCAGUAGGGCAUAUUAGGGCAUGGGAGACUGUGAGGCUGGGGAGAAGACUUGGAAACAGAGAUGGAGAGAGAAAGCAGAAUAGAAGCCCCCCAUUCAAGAGUGGUGGGGAGGGCUUCCCUGGUGGCGCAGUGGUUGAGAGUCCGCUUGCCGAUGCAGGGGACAUGGGUUCGUGCCCUGGUCCGGGAAGAUCCCGCAUGGCGCGGAGCGGCUGGGCCCGUGAGCCAUGGCCGCUGAGCCUGUGCGUCUGGAGCCUGUGCUCCGCAACGGGAGAGGCCACAACAGUGAGAGGCCCGCAUAUGGCAAAAAAAAAAAAAAAAAAAAA
Molecule: long non-coding RNA, 8756 nt
Organism: Orcinus orca (killer whale)
Lineage: Eukaryota; Metazoa; Chordata; Mammalia; Artiodactyla; Delphinidae
Exons: 3
Source: RefSeq, a predicted model, not a curated record